This 499-nucleotide ribosomal RNA is filed under the name Bombus wurflenii. RNAcentral's name for it is "partial 16S ribosomal RNA". The stretch from base 376 to 499 matches the Rfam family "Bacterial large subunit ribosomal RNA", at positions 2473 to 2597 of the family's 2925-position model. The record is from RNAcentral. Lineage: Eukaryota; Metazoa; Arthropoda; Insecta; Hymenoptera; Apidae.
GGCUUAUUGAUAAUAAUUUUAAGUCGAUCUGCCCAAUGAAAGUAAUUAAAUGGCUGCAGUAUAACUAACUGUACAAAGGUAGCAUAAUCAAUUGUUUUUUAAUUGAAAACUGGAAUGAAAGAAUUAAUGAGAUAUAUACUGUCUCAUAUAUAUUUAAUAAAAUUAAAUUUUUAGUAAAAAUGCUAAAAUAAAUUUAUGGGACGAUAAGACCCUAUAGAAUUUUAUAUUAAUUAUUAGAUUUAGAUAAAUUUUAAGAGUUAAUAUUUAAUUGGGAGGAUUAAUAAAUUUAAUAAACUUUAUUUUAAAAAUAAACUUUAAUUAAAGGAUAAAGUUAAUGAUCUUGUAUUAUAAAUUAUAAGAAAAAAUUACCUUAGGGAUAACAGCGUAAUAUCUUUUUAAAGAUCAGAUUGAUAAAGAUGAUUGCGACCUCGAUGUUGAAUUAAGAUAAAUUUUAAAUGGAGAAGUUUAAUAAUUAAGUCUGUUCGACUUUUAAAAUCUU